Andrographis paniculata is the source of this 1106-nucleotide long non-coding RNA. RefSeq lists it as uncharacterized. The transcript is spliced from 6 exons. NCBI's taxonomy places the organism in Eukaryota, Viridiplantae, Streptophyta, Magnoliopsida, Lamiales, Acanthaceae. The record is from RefSeq and is a predicted model, not a curated record.
AUUCGAAGGUAAUCGACGGCGUCUCCCCGAAGGACUUGGAAUCAGCGCUCGCCGGGAAAACUAUAGUCGCCGCGCAUCGGAAGGGGAAGAAUAUGUGGCUCGAGCUUGAUUCACCUCCUUUUCCCACGUUUCAAUUCGCUGAUGAUUCGAAGGUAAUCGACGGCGUCUCCCCGAAGGACUUCGAAUCACCGCUCGCCGGAAAACUAUAGUCGCUGCGCAUCGGAAGGGGAAGAAUAUGUGGCUCGAGCUCGAUUCACCUCCUUUUCCCACGUUUCACUUCGCUAGAUGAUGGUUUGGAAUUCUCUUUCACAGAAAAGAGGCAGUUUGCUAAAGUCCGUCUAAUAGACAAUGUAAAGUGGUAACUUUACGUUCAUCGUAUUGUUUCUGUUCAUCAUAUUCAUCCUUCCAAGAUAUUUCCAUAACAAUGCUUCUCACAGCCGAUUUCUGCUCCCCCUAUCUCUGAGCUUGGUCCUGACGCAUUAAAGGAGCCCAUGACGGAAGAUGAGUUCUACAGUGCUUCAAUAUAAAAUAUAUAACAAUAAAUAGAGAAUUGUGUCAUCUAUUAUAUAUAUUGAUAGGGAUAUUGGAUUUGUAUUUCAUUCAUCCUCGCUAUCUAUCCUUAAGCUUGUAGCAGCUAGCACACUUUAUAAUUAUUUUGUGUUGUUGGAAUAUUGUUAGGUUUGAAGAAAUUAUAUACCUCUGAAAUUACGAAGGAGGUUCACUUCUACUGCUGAAAUUGAUCUCAGGCUCAUCCAAGUCCACUUUUUACAAAGCGGUUGGCGGCUUUUAAAAUGUGCCUUGAUCAUGGAUCUGAACAUAAAAAGCCACCAGAAUAGUUGCCAAUUUUACUUCAGGAGGUAUAUGUGAAAGCAUUGGAAAAGGACUUCUCUGAUGCACCAUUGCAGUUUGAUACAAAGGUGUUAUUGGAAAAAACUCCAGCAUAUCGGUGGAUUCAAAUUUUCAGGGCAGCCUACCAUGGCGAGAGAUUGAAUUGAUUAUUGAAGAUGGCUGCGAGUAGGCAGAGGAGGAGGAGGAGAAGUGGUGGCGCAGCCAUGGCCGGAGAGACUUGGGAAGGGACAGAAAGUGGGUGUAUCCGUUGAGAGAGG